This 1275-nucleotide ribosomal RNA is filed under the name uncultured bacterium. Its description in RNAcentral is "bacterial SSU rRNA". It matches the Rfam family "Bacterial small subunit ribosomal RNA", at positions 63 to 1340 of the family's 1533-position model. The record is from RNAcentral.
CGAACGAAGCACCUGAGAAUGAUUCUUCGGAUGAAGUCUCUUGUGACUGAGUGGCGGACGGGUGAGUAACGCGUGGGUAACCUGCCUCACACAGGGGGAUAACAGUUGGAAACGACCGCUAAUACCGCAUAACCCGCUGGUGCCGCAUGGCACUGACGGAAAAGAUUUAUCGGUGUGAGAUGGACCCGCGUCUGAUUAGCCAGUUGGCAGGGUAACGGCCUACCAAAGCGACGAUCAGUAGCCGGCCUGAGAGGGUGAACGGCCACAUUGGGACUGAGACACGGCCCAGACUCCUGCGGGAGGCAGCAGUGGGGAAUAUUGCACAAUGGGGGAAACCCUGAUGCAGCGACGCCGCGUGAGUGAAGAAGUAUUUCGGUAUGUAAAGCUCUAUCAGCAGGGAAGAAAAUGACGGUACCUGAUUAAGAAGCCCCGGCUAACUACGUGCCAGCAGCCGCGGUAAUACGUAGGGGGCAAGCGUUAUCCGGAUUUACUGGGUGUAAAGGGAGCGUAGACGGUGAUGCAAGUCAGAAGUGAAAGCCCGGGGCUCAACUCCGGGACUGCUUUUGAAACUGUGUGACUGGAGUGCAGGAGAGGCAAGCGGAAUUCCUGGUGUAGCGGCGAAAGGCGCAGCUCUUAGGAAAAACACCAGUGGCGAAGGCGGCUUUAUUGGACUGUAACUUGACUUUGAGGCUCGAAAGCGGGGGGGGCCUUUUAGGUAGNNNNNNUGGUGUCCAAACAUAAAGGCCCUAUGUAGACGUCGGGGAGCAAAGCUCUUCGGUGCCGCAGCAAACGCAUUAAAUAUUCCACCUGGGGGAGUACGUUCGCAAGAAUGAAACUCAAAGGAAUUGACGGGGACCCGCACAAGCGGUGGAGCAUGUGGUUUAAUUCGAAGCAACGCGAAGAACCUUACCAGGUCUUGACAUCCCUCUGACCGGGAUUUAAUCAUCCCUUUCCUUCGGGACAGAGGAGACAGGUGGUGCAUGGUUGUCGUCAGCUCGUGUCGUGAGAUGUUGGGUUAAGUCCCGCAACGAGCGCAACCCUUACCUUCAGUAGCCAGCGGUUCGGCCGGGCACUCUGGAGGGACUGCCAGGGACAACCUGGAGGAAGGUGGGGAUGACGUCAAAUCAUCAUGCCCCUUAUGAUCUGGGCUACACACGUGCUACAAUGGCGUAAACAAAGGGAAGCGAGACAGUGAUGGCAAGCAAAUCUCAGAAAUAACGUCUCAGUUCGGAUUGCAGUCUGCAACUCGACUGCAUGAAGCUGGAAUCGCUAGUA